This 627-nucleotide ribosomal RNA is filed under the name uncultured archaeon. RNAcentral's name for it is "bacterial SSU rRNA". It matches the Rfam family "Archaeal small subunit ribosomal RNA", at positions 7 to 642 of the family's 1478-position model. The record is from RNAcentral.
GUUGAUCCUGCCGGACCUGACUGCUAUCGGAUUGGUACUAAGCCAUGCGAGUCGUUGUAGCAAUACAAGGCGGACUGCUCAGUACACAUAGUUGACUUAACCUAUGGAUGGGCAUAACCUCGGGAAACUGAGAAUAAUACCCAAUGGACCACAGUGCCUGGAAUGGCCUGUGGUUGAAAUGAUUUAUCGCCGUAGGAUAGGACUGCGGCCUAUCAGCUUGUUGGUGAGGUAAUGGCCCACCAAGGCUAUAACAGGUACGGGCUCUGAGAGGAGAAGCCCGGAGAUGGGUACUGAGACACGGACCCAGGCCCUAUGGGGCGCAGCAGGCGAGAAACCUUAGCAAUGUGCGAAAGCACGACUGGGUCAGUCCGAGUGAUUUCUGAUAAAGGAGUCUUUUGCCCGUCCUAAAAGCACGGGCGAAUAAGGGGUGGGCAAGUCUGGUGUCAGCCGCCGCGGUAAUACCAGCACCUCGAGUGGUCAGGACGAUUAUUGGGCCUAAAGCAUCCGUAGCUGGUCUUGCAAGUCUCCGGUUAAAUCCACCUGCUCAACAGAUGGGCCGCUGGAGAUACUACAAGACUAGGGAGUGGGAGAGGCAGACGGUACUCGGGGGGUAGGGGUAAAAUCUCU